UAUACUGCAGUCGAGCGAGUGAAUUAAUUGAUCCCUUCGGGGUGACGUUAAUGGAUCUAGCGUUGGACGGGUGAGUAACACGUGGGCAACCUGCCUGUAAGACUGGGAUAACUCGCGGAAACGCGAGCUAAUACCGGAUAACACUUCGAACCACAUGGUUUGAAGAUGAAAGGCGGCGCAAGCUGUCACUUACAGAUGGGCCCGCGGCGCAUUAGCUAGUUGGUGAGGUAACGGCUCACCAAGGCGACGAUGCGUAGCCGACCUGAGAGGGUGAUCGGCCACACUGGGACUGAGACACGGCCCAGACUCCUACGGGAGGCAGCAGUAGGGAAUCUUCCGCAAUGGACGAAAGUCUGACGGAGCAACGCCGCGUGAGUGAUGAAGGUUUUCGGAUUGUAAAACUCUGUUGUUAGGGAAGAACAAGUACAAUAGUAACUGAUUGUACCUUGACGGUACCUAACCAGAAAGCCCCGGCUAACUACGUGCCAGCAGCCGCGGUAAUACGUAGGGGGCAAGCGUUGUCCGGAAUUAUUGGGCGUAAAGCGCGCGCAGGCGGUCCUUUAAGUCUGAUGUGAAAGCCCACGGCUUAACCGUGGAGGGUCAUUGGAAACUGGAGGACUUGAGUGCAGAAGAGGAGAGUGGAAUUCCACGUGUAGCGGUGAAAUGCGUAGAGAUGUGGAGGAACACCAGUGGCGAACGCGACUCUCUGGUCUGUAACUGACGCUGAUGUGCGAAAGCCUGCGGAG
This 746-nucleotide ribosomal RNA is filed under the name Ornithinibacillus sp. Its description in RNAcentral is "bacterial SSU rRNA". It matches the Rfam family "Bacterial small subunit ribosomal RNA", at positions 50 to 768 of the family's 1533-position model. Lineage: Bacteria; Bacillati; Bacillota; Bacilli; Caryophanales; Bacillaceae. The record is from RNAcentral.